Molecule: long non-coding RNA, 1532 nt
Filed under: Cricetulus griseus (Chinese hamster)
Lineage: Eukaryota; Metazoa; Chordata; Mammalia; Rodentia; Cricetidae
Description: lncRNA (ENSCGRG00015033699.1)
Source: RNAcentral
CUCUCUGUGUAGCUUUAGCUAUCCUGGAAUUCACUCUGUAGACCAGAUUGGCCUUGAACUCAUGGAUAUACACCUACCUCUGGCUCCUGAGUGCUGGGAUUAAAGGUGCACAAUGAAGAUAAUAAGAGUCCUUGCUUCAGAACUGUCGUGAAGAUUGCCUGAGAACACAGCUUGAGGAUACUCUAGGGCAAGUGUGGUAAGAUGGCUCAGCAGGAAAAGGUGCUUGCACUACAAGCCUGGAAAUCUGAGUUCAAUCCCUGGAACCCAGGCAUGGAUGGGCCUCUCUGGUCAGAGGUGUGAGGGAGAUCAGAGAAGGAGUGUGCUGGCUGGCUGGCAGAGUAUGGGCACCCUCUGACAUUCUCCAGCACAGCCAGCUUGGCCCAAGUAGGUCAGGGCAGUUUCCUGGCCUGUAGCCUGAGUUCCCUCCCACUCACUUGUAUUUAUGGCCAAGAUCUGCCUGGAGCCCUCUUACCUUCAAAGGCUGAGGACACUGCUUGCUCAGACUCUACUCAAGGACUCUGCAGGGCAGGGCAGGGCAGGGCAGGGCAGGGCUGGAUGGCUUCCUGAGGGUACAGCUGACUUGGAUGGCCCACAGAGAGCUCAGCCCUGGGCAAGCCAUUUUGGGCAGGGACUGCACCUGUAAGCUCCACCCUGCAGUUUCUGUCCCACCUGCCCCAUCUUUUCUUUAGAAGUCAGAGCAGCAUAGAGUGGACUCAGCCUACAAGCUGCACAACUGCAUCUGUGGUAUGGGAUUCCUUGGCUAGCCUCAGCCUCUGGGUACCCAACUCACUCCCACUGGCUACUAAGAGGAAGAAACAACACUUCACCCUUCUGCCUUCUCUAGAAUCUUCUAUGCAUGACACACCUCUCAGGCCCUGAAAACGCAUACAUUACCCAAGCUGGUGGCCAAGACUCCUCUUGUUAUGGGAUCAAGAAAGGUAAAGUUCCCUGCUGCAGCUCUGCUAAGGCCUGCAGGGUUGACCUGAAGAAGCAGUUUGUGCCCAGGGCUAAUAAAUUAUGAUUCCCUGGUUCCUGAAUGCUCUUGUAAGCACACCUCAGCAUCGGCGUUCCUGGGCACCUCCACUUGUGUAUAAGCACAGACAAACGUGCAUACCACAUGGGGAUCAGUGCAUACAUGUAGAAUUCUGCUUCCCCAUCGUGUCUAUGCUCCUGACUGCAUGUACCUACUUCAAUAGACAACAGCUCUCAAACACUGUGUCCCUGUCUACACUUAGACCCUGGAUGUACAGCUGUGUGCGCAUUGCUCUCUGUUGCUUCACUGGCAGUGAGUCUUAAAUCGUGUAUGUUUUUACAUUUCCUUCUCCUAGAGCAUACUUGGUAUUUGCUAUCAUUGUAUAUAGUUUUAUAUCAAGCCUAAACCUUCUCAUUUAGACUAAAAGGGGAAUUGUAGCAAUAUAUUUGCCUGUGAACCUGUAACAAUGGCCAUGCCUUUUCAGUUAAAGGGAGAGGAUAAGGAGGCAGGGUCUACAUCAUUGGAGCAGGAACACCACGACAGCCACUUACUUUUUUCU